AUGGUCCAACUACAGAACUUCUUCUUUUUCAUUACUUCCAUGGUCGUGCCCCGUGGCACGGCAGCACCCGUACUAUUGAAAUGGUUCAUCAGUAGAGAUGUUCCCACUGGUGCCUCUUCUUCCAAUGGUACUAUAAUUCCUAUCCCUGUCCCUUUAUUCCCUUUUUUGGUCUAUCUACAUUUAAGGAAAUUCAUACGCUCCAUGGAUAGAGCAAAAACUGGAGUGUUGGUCAAAGCAAGCCGCCCUAUUCUAUUACCAGACAAAAUGGAGAGAAGCUCAUCCACUAGAAAUGCUUUAUUUCGUUUCGUUCCCGUUCUUCAUUUCCUUAUUAUCGAAUCCAUGGGGGACUUGUCAUAUAUCGGGGUUUUGCUCAAUCCGUUGCUUGUUUGGUUCGAGGUUGAGCUCACCCGC
RNAcentral lists this ribosomal RNA (411 nucleotides) under Triticum aestivum (bread wheat). RNAcentral describes it as "partial small subunit ribosomal RNA". The record is from RNAcentral. Lineage: Eukaryota; Viridiplantae; Streptophyta; Magnoliopsida; Poales; Poaceae.